CAGGCUUAACACAUGCAAGUCGAGGGGCAUCAGGAAGAAAGCUUGCUUUCUUUGCUGGCGACCGGCGCACGGGUGAGUAACACGUAUCCAACCUGCCCUUUACUCGGGGAUAGCCUUUCGAAAGAAAGAUUAAUACCCGAUGGCAUAAUGAUUCCGCAUGGUUUCAUUAUUAAAGGAUUCCGGUAAAGGAUGGGGAUGCGUUCCAUUAGGUUGUUGGUGAGGUAACGGCUCACCAAGCCUUCGAUGGAUAGGGGUUCUGAGAGGAAGGUCCCCCACAUUGGAACUGAGACACGGUCCAAACUCCUACGGGAGGCAGCAGUGAGGAAUAUUGGUCAAUGGGCGCUAGCCUGAACCAGCCAAGUAGCGUGAAGGAUGAAGGCUCUAUGGGUCGUAAACUUCUUUUAUAUAAGAAUAAAGUGCAGUAUGUAUACUGUUUUGUAUGUAUUAUAUGAAUAAGGAUCGGCUAACUCCGUGCCAGCAGCCGCGGUAAUACGGAGGAUCCGAGCGUUAUCCGGAUUUAUUGGGUUUAAAGGGAGCGUAGGUGGACUGGUAAGUCAGUUGUGAAAGUUUGCGGCUCAACCGUAAAAUUGCAGUUGAUACUGUCAGUCUUGAGUACAGUAGAGGUGGGCGGAAUUCGUGGUGUAGCGGUGAAAUGCUUAGAUAUCACGAAGAACUCCGAUUGCGAAGGCAGCUCACUGGACUGCAACUGACACUGAUGCUCGAAAGUGUGGGUAUCAAACAGGAUUAGAUACCCUGGUAGUCCACACAGUAAACGAUGAAUACUCGCUGUUUGCGAUAUACAGUAAGCGGCCAAGCGAAAGCAUUAAGUAUUCCACCUGGGGAGUACGCCGGCAACGGUGAAACUCAAAGGAAUUGACGGGGGCCCGCACAAGCGGAGGAACAUGUGGUUUAAUUCGAUGAUACGCGAGGAACCUUACCCGGGCUUAAAUUGCAGUGGAAUGAUGUGGAAACAUGUCAGUGAGCAAUCACCGCUGUGAAGGUGCUGCAUGGUUGUCGUCAGCUCGUGCCGUGAGGUGUCGGCUUAAGUGCCAUAACGAGCGCAACCCUUAUCUUUAGUUACUAACAGGUUAUGCUGAGGACUCUAGAGAGACUGCCGUCGUAAGAUGUGAGGAAGGUGGGGAUGACGUCAAAUCAGCACGGCCCUUACGUCCGGGGCUACACACGUGUUACAAUGGGGGGUACAGAAGGCAGCUAGCGGGUGACCGUAUGCUAAUCCCAAAAGCCUCUCUCAGUUCGGAUCGAAGUCUGCAACCCGACUUCGUGAAGCUGGAUUCGCUAGUAAUCGCGCAUCAGCCACGGCGCGGUGAAUACGUUCCCGGGCCUUGUACACACCGCCCGUCAAGCCAUGGGAGCCGGGGGUACCUGAAGUACGUAACCGCAAGGAUCGUCCUAGGGUAAAACUGGUGACUGGGGCUAAGUCG
RNAcentral lists this ribosomal RNA (1442 nucleotides) under uncultured organism. RNAcentral's name for it is "16S ribosomal RNA". It matches the Rfam family "Bacterial small subunit ribosomal RNA". The record is from RNAcentral.